This 200-nucleotide ribosomal RNA is filed under the name uncultured bacterium. Its description in RNAcentral is "partial 16S ribosomal RNA". It matches the Rfam family "Bacterial small subunit ribosomal RNA", at positions 30 to 230 of the family's 1533-position model. The record is from RNAcentral.
AUUGAACGCUGGCGGCAUGCUUUACACAUGCAAGUCGAACGGCAGCACGGGAGCAAUCCUGGUGGCGAGUGGCGAACGGGUGAGUAAUACAUCGGAACGUGCCCAAUCGUGGGGGAUAACGCAGCGAAAGCUGUGCUAAUACCGCAUAAGAUCUACGGAUGAAAGCAGGGGACCGCAAGGCCUUGCGCGAAUGGAGCGGC